AUGGCUGCCAAAUGUUUGAGUCCAUCAGAAAGUUCGGCCUGGCUUUAGCAGUUGCAGGAGGCAUGGUGAACUCUGCUUUUUAUGUGGAUGCUGGGCACAGAGCUGUCAACUUUGACUGAUUCCAUGGCAUACAGGACCUUGUGGUAGGGGAAGGGACUCAUUUUCUCAUCCCUUGGGUACAGAAACCAAUUAUCUUUGACAGACACUCUCAACCUCGGAAUGUACCAGUCAUCACUGAUAGCAAAGACUUGCAGAACGUCAACAUCACACUGCGCAUCCUCUUCCAGCCCGUGGCCAGCCAGCUUCCUAGUUCGUAUCUAUACCAGCAUUGGCAAGGACUAUGCUGAGCAAGUCCUGCGGUCUAUCACCACAGAGAUCCUCAGUCUGCGGUGGCUGGAUUUGAUGCUGGAGAACUGAUUACCCAGCGAGAGCUGAUCUCACAGAGCAAGCAGCAACAUUUGGGCUCAUCCUGGAUGACGUGUCCCUCACACAUUUGACCUUCGGGAAGGAGUUCACAGAGACAGUAGAAGCCAAACAAGUGGCUCAGCAGGAAGCAGAGAGAGCCAGAUUUGUGGUGGAAAAGGCUGAGCAGCAAAAGAAAGCAGCCAUUAUCUCUGCUGAUGGUGACUUCAAGGCAGCUGAGCUGAUCGCCAACUAGCUGGCCACAGCAGGCGAUGGCCUGAUCGAGCUGCGCAAGCUGGAGGCUGCUGAGGACAUUGCAUACCAGCUCUCCCGCUCUCGGAACAUCACCUACCUGCCAGGGGGGCAGUCCAUUCUCCUC
RNAcentral lists this long non-coding RNA (781 nucleotides) under Mus musculus (house mouse). RNAcentral's name for it is "long non-coding RNA chrX:105032585-105033366". Lineage: Eukaryota; Metazoa; Chordata; Mammalia; Rodentia; Muridae. The record is from RNAcentral.